This 117-nucleotide ribosomal RNA is filed under the name Prolemur simus (greater bamboo lemur). The record is from RNAcentral. Lineage: Eukaryota; Metazoa; Chordata; Mammalia; Primates; Lemuridae.
GUCUACGGCCAUACCACGCCCAAUCUCUUCUGAUCUCAGAAGCUAAGCAGCGCUGGGCCUGGUUAGUACUUGGAUGGGAGAAUACCUAAAUUUUGACAAUUUACUCAUCCGUAUGCC